RNAcentral lists this unclassified non-coding RNA (194 nucleotides) under uncultured fungus. RNAcentral's name for it is "sequence contains ITS1, 5.8S rRNA gene". Lineage: Eukaryota; Fungi. The record is from RNAcentral.
GCAAUUUGGUGGGGUGGGGUUGUUGGGUGUCGUGUGGGGUUUCUGUCCCACAUGAGCUUAUCCUGCACCCUCCACAUGCGUUCGGAGUGGCGUCAAGCUGCCCGUGACACAUGCGUUCGGAGUGGCGUCAAGCUGCCCCGUGACACAUUUACGCAAUGAAUGUUUGACAGAGUGGCGAUAUACAAUAACGAGUA